RNAcentral lists this transfer RNA (70 nucleotides) under Dipodomys ordii (Ord's kangaroo rat). It matches the Rfam family "tRNA". From Rfam's summary of the family: Transfer RNA (tRNA) molecules are approximately 80 nucleotides in length. Their secondary structure includes four short double-helical elements and three loops (D, anti-codon, and T loops). The record is from Rfam by way of RNAcentral. Lineage: Eukaryota; Metazoa; Chordata; Mammalia; Rodentia; Heteromyidae.
GGGAAUAUGGCUCAGUGGUAGAGUGCUUGCCUAGCAGGCAUGAAGCCCUGGGUUCAAAUCCUUAGUACUA